CCCUCUCCACCCUGACUUGGCAUUGCCUCUCAGAGCUGUGAUACUUCUCCCACCCUGGCAGACCCUUUCCACAGUUCCAGAAGAUUUUGGAGCAAAAGGCAGCCUCACAUAAGCAUCCAGAGAACAGAGGCAAGCCCACACCUGGGCCCGGCCCGCCCCCUCUGGGCCUCCCUGCCCGGCCAGGCCCCGCACCCCGCUCCCUGCUCCCCGCCCAUCUGAAGAGCCUGGGCCCCAGCAGGGGAAAGAAAAAUGAGAAGCCUGGGAUUUUAACGCGUUGCAAGCCAAAAAGAUCCAGAAAGGGCACAGCAGGAAUAGUGCAGGCAGCCUGGGUGAUGUGCCUUGCUUCCUGAGAGGCACAGUAUUCCAGAUACUCUGAAAGCAGGUAAUAGGUGCACAGAAAUGUGGGCCUGGCACAGAACUUCUACAAACAUGGGGUUGGCCAGCCAGGCUGAUAGAGGGUGUACGGGGAGGGGAAGGGCUCUGAGGCCGCACCUUAUAUAGGAGGCAGAAAACUUCAGUUGUCCAUAUCAGAGAUGGAAGGCUGGAUAUUAAGAGUUGUGGGCUAAAGCUGCCCCUUCAGAUUAGAAAAAAGAAAAGAUAAAGGGAGAGAGAAGACUAGAAGGAGGGAGAGGAUGAAUGGACAGAAGGGGGGAAAGAAAAAGCACAACCAGAAUUUCUAAAACCAGCUUCUGUCAGAAAUUCUUGCCACCAUUUGUUAAGGAUUUGCCAUUAGGACUAGAACUCUGAUGUGGCAUCAUGGGGUGAUUAAAAGCACCUGAG
Molecule: long non-coding RNA, 780 nt
Organism: Lagenorhynchus albirostris (white-beaked dolphin)
Lineage: Eukaryota; Metazoa; Chordata; Mammalia; Artiodactyla; Delphinidae
Exons: 3
Source: RefSeq, a predicted model, not a curated record